RNAcentral lists this transfer RNA (68 nucleotides) under Dicamptodon aterrimus (Idaho giant salamander). RNAcentral describes it as "tRNA-Glu". It matches the Rfam family "tRNA". Rfam says of the family: Transfer RNA (tRNA) molecules are approximately 80 nucleotides in length. Their secondary structure includes four short double-helical elements and three loops (D, anti-codon, and T loops). Lineage: Eukaryota; Metazoa; Chordata; Amphibia; Caudata; Dicamptodontidae. The record is from RNAcentral.
GUUUUUAUAGUUGAAAACAACAUUGAUUUUUCAUAUCAAAGGUUUUGGUUAAAUCCCAAAUAAAAAUA